This 4740-nucleotide long non-coding RNA is filed under the name Vigna radiata. Its description in RNAcentral is "long non-coding RNA (VRAD_LNC007659)". The record is from RNAcentral. Lineage: Eukaryota; Viridiplantae; Streptophyta; Magnoliopsida; Fabales; Fabaceae.
GAUGAUAGUUUUGGGAAGGCAGAGACAAGAAUCUGCAACCUUCUUGAUUGUGGUUAGUCUAUCGCUAAAUAGUAUGUUAUAAGCAUUUAUUUAUUUUUUCUUUAUUUUUCAUUCUUUCAGAGACAAGAAUCUGCAACCUUCUUGAUUGUGGUUAGUCUAUCGCUAAAUAGUAUGCUAUAAGCAUUUAUUCAUUUUUUCUUUAUUUUUCAUUCUUUGUACAGUGUUUGUAACAUAUUUUCUUUUCUUUAUUUUUUUAGAUUUAUAUUAUGAGGCUGCAGUAGUUUAUGAUGAAGUAAAUGAUACACAAAUGGGGCUUUGAAUUAUCCUCAUAGGUACAUUUUGCUCAAGUGGGGAAUUAAUGCUUUUAAUCUUUUAAGAUUUGAACCAAUAAAACCUGCCUUGGAUCCUGGUACUGAUAUGCAUAUACACACUCACAUCUUGGAUUCAAUAUUUGCUGUAAAAUACAUGGAUAUUCUUGAUGUUGUUAAUGAUGUGUGUACUAAUCUUGACAGCAUUUUCUAUGAUAGCGUGGAUGAUGAAUCUGCUGAAUCUGUAGAGAUUGGUGAGGUCAUUUUUGAGAAGCUAGUACAGGUGGGUUCUAAACUUAAACUCCCUAUCUAUUUGGCUGAGGUGCAGAGCGGUUUUUCUAUUACUGAGUCUUUGCUUACUGAACCUGUGAAACCUCUACUUGAUAUUUCUGCUGUUAUGCCUAGUCAUUCUGAGAUUUUGGAUGCAAUUUUUGUGGUAGACCAGAUUGAAAUGCACGAUAGUAGUUAUUCUGAUUUUAAUGCACUAAUUUCUGAUAAAAUGCUUGAUGAUAUGAUGGAUGACUCUGAUUUCAGUCUGAAUGAAGCUGCAUUGUUUGAUAGUUCACUGAUGAACAUUGAUUUUGAUUUUUUUGUUUUGGCUGACAUGACUAACAUUGUCACCCACCCAUUCAAAGGAAGCUGUAGAGACAUACAACCUUGGGGAAGGCAAAAGAUGGUGUUAACACUGCCCAAAAAGCAUGGAAGUAGCAAAAUCAACAACUGUGACGGUUGCAGCAAGAUGAUUUGUAAGUGCAAAACCAAUUAAAAGUCUUUGAUGGAGAAUUGUUAUUUCUGCAGCAUAGAGUUAGGAAAAAGACAAUGCACACCUUUACUGGCCAUGGAGCAAAACAAAUACCAAUAAGUCAUUUCUUUAUCCUUCCUUUCUUUUUGUAGUAAUUGGUUUUUGUUAUUAACUUGUAUAAUAUUAAGAAUUGUUAUAAAUAACAGAUUAGAAAAUAUGUGGUUUUACAUAAAAAUAAAGAGAAUCAAUUCUAAUUUGUGGCCGAUUUGAAUAAUUUUUCUUCUUAUUGUGGUUUUGUAGUUUUAAUUUUUUUUUUCCAUUUUUGUGUUCUUGUGUUGGUGUUUACUUUUCAUAAUUUUGUGCAUAUACAUUUUGUGCUCUUUUGAUUUUAGUUUUUUUAGCUCAUUUCUGUUACAUGUAUUCUUGUUCAAUUUUAAUUUUUUUUUCAAUUCUAUUAUUGUAGAUUGUAUAUUCUGUUUUCAUGAUGCAAUUUUAGGAAUUGUUGAUUACUUUUUGUAAUCUUUUAGUUUUGCCUUGUAUAUAUCAAUGUGUAAAGUUGUUUUUGUACAUAACUGAUUUUAACUACUCCUUCUCUCCCCCACACUUAAGAGACACAUUGCCCUCAAUGUGUGAGUGAAUAAGGUUACCUAAACAACACAGAUCAAUCAGUUAUGUACAAAACGACUUUACACAUACAAAAAGUAAUCAACAGUUCCUAUAACAGCAUCAUGAAAACAAUCAACAAUAACAAAAUUGAAAAAAAUUAAAAUUGAACAAGAAAAUAAAUGUAACAUAAAUGAGUCAAGGAAACUAAACUCAAAAGAGCACAUAAUUAUGAAAAGUAAACACAACAUGUAUAGUAACAAAAAUGGAAAAAAAGAAAAUUAAAACUAAAAAGCUACAAUAAGAAGAAAAAUAAAUAAGAAGAAAAAUAAAUAAGAAAAAAAAUAAUUGAUUCUCUUUGUUUUUUAUAUAAAAUCACACAUUUUUUACUAUGUUAUUUAUAACAAUUCCUAAUAUCAUGCAAGUUAACAAUAAAAACCAAUUACUACAAAAGAAAGGACCAUGGCCACCCAAGUGUGCAUUGUCUUCUUCCUAACUCUCUGCUGCAAUAAUAACAACUCUUCAUCAAAGGUCUUCAGCGUUAUGCACUUUUAAAUCAUCUUGUUGCAGCCACCAGAGCUCCUUACUUUGCAACUUCCAAGCUCUUUGGGCAGCGUUAAUACCAUCUUUUGCCUUCCCAAAGUUGUCUUUGCAGCUUUCUUUGAAUGGGUGGCAAUGUUAGCAGCCUUCAAUCUGACCAUGGCUGUGCAUGCUUGUUUAGACCAUCCAAACUGACCUUUCUUCAACAAUUCGGUUAGUGGUUUCGCCAAUUUCCCAUACCCCAACACAAAACCCCAACACAAAACGCCUAUAAUACCCCGUCAAGCCAUGGAAACCCCUCAACACUUUCAAGUUUUCUGGUUCUUUCCACUCCAAAACUGCCCUUAUCUUAUCACCAUCCAUUUCAACUCCUUUUUUUAAAUUUGGUGGCCUAGAUAACGAAUCCAUUUCAACACCAAUUCCAACUACUCCAAAUGGUCCCUCCAAGUAUCAAGAAGACCAACACAAACUUCCAGAGGUACUGUGUAAUAGGUUAUUCAUCGCUUUUUGAAACGUGGCUGGUGCAUUUGUGAGUCCAAAUGACAUCACAAGGAACUCAAAAUGACCUUGAUGCGUUCGAAAAGCAGUCUUGUGAACAUCUUCUUGUCCAUUCUGAUAUGAUGAUAUUCGGCCUUUAAAUCAAUCUUGGAGAAAUACUUAGCUCCCUUUAGUUCAUCCAACAGUUCUUCUAUAACAUGUAUGGGAAAUUUGUUAGGGACGGUGGCCCUCUGUUUAGGGCACGGUAAUCGACACAGACACACAGAAGUGCUAACUGUCAUCCUUCUUCUUCAUUAAGGUCACUGGAUUGGAAACAGAAGUGCCAGCUACCGUCCUUCUUCUUCGUUAAGAUCAUUGACUGGAAAAAGGGCUCAUGGUUGGCCUGAUGAUUCCGCCUUCACCAUGUCCACUUGACUUUCAAUCUUGUCCUUUAUAAGAUGGGACAAAUGUCUCCUCAUACUCAAUUUCGUAUGUGUGGAUAUAUUCUUUUGCCACCAAUCUAAUUUUAUAUGUUUAGUUAUUUAGGAACAAAGCACCCACUAGGACAAAAUUGAAAAAAUAAUCACUUGAUCAUAUUUUUUUUCCUACUUACACAAGAGUUCAUAAAAUUUGAAACAUGAACAUAACCAUGUGCCACACAUAAGACAAAAGUACUAUUAAAAUUUAACUAAUUUAAUAAAAAUGUGUAAUAAUAUUUAUUGUAAGAAAUAUAACGUAAAACUAUAUAUUUAUAAAUUAUUUGAUAUCAUUUUGGUAAUUCAACUGAUCUUUUUAAAUUAAAUUUGAAUAUCAUUUUAAAAAGUUAAUUUUAAAAUUCAAUUCAAUAUUAUAAAACUAUAUAAUAAAAUAAAGUUUUGAUUUAUAUAUAUAUAUAUAUAUAUAUAUAUAUAUAUAUAUAAUAAUGAUAAGAAUAGUAAGAAGGUGAAAUAUAAUAAAAACAACUUUAAACCUAAACAAUGAAAAGAAAAAGAUGGUUAUAUGAGUAUUUAAAAUGCAAUGUAACAUCCUAAUAAAGAUUUCUCACAUUGGAAAACAACUUUAUAAUUUAUAGAUUUUUUUUUUUCUUGGAUCAACGAUUGUGAGUUAUCCCUUAUUUUUAUUUAUUUAUUUAUUAUUUUUUCACUUCUCCUUUUAGGCAAUCUAACAGCAGCCAACAAGCCAUAGAACGGUUUGGAGCAGUAAGAAAAUGACAACAGUCACGUGCAAUCGGCAGAGAUUAUGUCAGUGUCAUGUCAAAGAGAUGUGGUACAAGAUAAGAGUGUUAGGUUAGGGACAAAUUUCGAAAAUAUAACAGAAAAAAAAAUUAUGACCCUCCGUUUAAAAAUAAUAAAUCCUCCAAAGAGAAAUUUCUACAAACUUAAAAUUUUACAUUGGUCCUCAAUCAUUUAGAACAGUUACUAGGAAUAUAUAUAUAAUUGUAAAAUGAUGUACUUGUCCCCUAACUUAGGACCAUUCCAUAAGCUUUCGUGUUGGCCCAACCUAAACAAUAUCAACAUAUUCACAUACAUUACAAUCUUUUACCUUUUUCUUAUCCACGAACUAACCUUGUUUUGAUGUUUGUUACCAUUUUUAAGUUUUAUGUUCCUGAAUACUGUAAUUGGUUGUACCAUGAACAUGUCGGUGGUGGAAAGCCAGUAGCUUCAAAAAGUGGAUAACUCCUUUGAGAAUACAUGUCUCACAAGUCUUAAAGAUAAGAUAUUAUUGACUUUUGGGCCUUUACUCUUUCUAUCCAUAAUGUUGUUUUGCUAACUAUUCUACCCUUGAUUACCCUUCUUAAUUAUUGUUAUAUCGAUAAUCUUUGUAUUAUGUUUAUUUAAUUAUCAUUUUUGAAGUUAUGUUCACUUUGUAUUUUGAAGUGAGAAAAAAUGAUUAUUUGCGAGUUUCAUCGUUUUUUCAAUCUUUGUUAACCUGUUGAGAUUUGAGAGUAUUUAUUUUUCCCUGAAACAAAUUUUAUUUGACAUGCAAUUCUCAAGAACAUCAAAACAGAAGGAACCAUGACGUCUUGUAAUCAAUUAUAGCAAAGGAACGAAUUGAUUCCCAUUACCUAGA